Molecule: transfer RNA, 68 nt
Filed under: Psittacula eupatria (Alexandrine parakeet)
Lineage: Eukaryota; Metazoa; Chordata; Aves; Psittaciformes; Psittacidae
Description: tRNA-Ala
Rfam family: tRNA
About the family: Transfer RNA (tRNA) molecules are approximately 80 nucleotides in length. Their secondary structure includes four short double-helical elements and three loops (D, anti-codon, and T loops).
Source: RNAcentral
AGAUCCUAGCUUAAUGAAAGCAUCUGGGUUGCGUUCAGAGGAUGCAGGUUAAUGUCCUGCGGAUUUUG